Molecule: long non-coding RNA, 747 nt
Filed under: Cyanistes caeruleus (blue tit)
Lineage: Eukaryota; Metazoa; Chordata; Aves; Passeriformes; Paridae
Description: lncRNA (ENSCCEG00000005839.1)
Source: RNAcentral
CCUCGGCCUCCCAUUGGUCAGCGGGGGAGGCGGGACCAGGGAGCCGCCGCCUCUGAUUGGCUGAGGCGGGAGCGCGGGAAAACGGCGGCGGGGAGGCUCUCCCGGCGUGCACCGCGCGGGGGAACUGAUCGCGAUGGCCGAACCCCGCCUGGCUCCUCCCAGUUCCUCCCAGUGCUCCCAGUUUGCUCCCAGUUCCUCCCAGUGCUCCCAGUUACCCCCUCCCAGUUCCUCCCAGUGCUCCCAGUUACCCCCUCCCAGUUUGGGGGGGCUCAUCCCCCCCUCCCACUUCGUGCUGCGCUCCAGGCCGCUGGGGGCGUGGCUUGAUGGAGAAAAUGGGCGUGGCCACGACCUGGAGGCGGAGCUUAAAGCGCUGAGGGGGCGGUGCCAAGCGCUGGAGGCGGAGCUGAGAGCAGAAAAGGGGCGGAGCCAAGCGCUGGAGGCGGAGCUGAGAGCAGAAAAGGGGCGGAGCCAAGCGCUGGAGGCAGAGCUGAGAGCAGAAAAGGGGCGGAGCCAAGCGCUAGAGGCGGAGCUGAGAGCAGAAAAGGGGCGGAGCCAAGCGCUGGAGGCAGAGCUUAGAGCAGAAAAGGGGCGGAGCCAAACCCUGGAGGCAGAGCUUGAGGCAGAAAAGGGGCGGAGCCAAAUCCUGGAGGAGGAGCUGGAAGUGUGGAGGGGGCGGGGCCUGGGAGCUGAGGGGGCGGAGCCAAACCCGGAACAGGUGCUGCUGUCCCGCUGGAGGCUGAAGGUUUU